UGUAUGGUCUUUUAGCAUGGCGGUAGCAGCAGGAGUGAGGACAGCUGUGCAGAUGUCAUUCAAGAAGCCUUUUGAUCCUGGCUGACACUAAAGCUGGUGUCUGCUGGUGUGACCAGACAUCAAAGAAUGCUACUAGAGGUAUGGGAGCCCUUGUUUCUGAAGAGGCCGGAGGGCAUCGCAUGUCUGGCAAGGACAGCUGUGCAGGUGUCAUUCAAGAAGCCUUUUGAUCCUGGCUGACACUAAAGCUGGUGUCUGCUGGUGUGACCAGACAUCAAAGAAUGCUACUAGAGGUAUGGGAGCCCUUGUUUUGGAAGAGGCCAGAGGGCAUCGCAUGACUGGCAAGGACAGCUGUGCAGAUGUCAUUCAAGAAGCAUUUUGAUCCUGGCUGACACUAAAGCUGGUGUCUGCUGGUGUGACCAGACAUCAAAGAAUGCUACUAGAGGUAUGGGGGCCCUUGUUUCUGAAGAGGCCGGAGGGCAUCGCAUGACUGGCAAGGACAGCUGUGCAGAUGUCAUUCAAGAAGCCUUUUGAUCCUGGCUGACACUAAAGCUGGUGUCUGCUGGUGUGACCAGACAUCAAAGAAUGAUACUAGAGGUAUGGGGGCCCUUGUUUUGGAAGAGGCCAGAGGGCAUCGCAUGACUGGCAAGGUUUGAGUCGGUUCUGUACUCGUUGCCGUAUCCCUUUCAAGUCUUUGCUGCAUGUGAAGGACAAAGUAUGGCACUGAUCAGAUGGGAGCGUUCCAGCUCGACUGAAUGUUUACUCAUCAUGAAGUUGGAUCCUUGACUUGAUUCCUCUAAUAGAUUAUCAAACCACAAAGAUUUGUGCAGACUGCAACCAGUCACAAUGUAACUUGUACAUGGAAUUGCAUUAAAAUUUCUUAACUAG
Long non-coding RNA from Bufo bufo (common toad), 885 nucleotides. RefSeq lists it as uncharacterized. The transcript has 16 exons. The record is from RefSeq and is a predicted model, not a curated record. NCBI's taxonomy places the organism in Eukaryota, Metazoa, Chordata, Amphibia, Anura, Bufonidae.